GGUGAGGAUGGACCUUGUGCUAC
RNAcentral lists this non-coding RNA (23 nucleotides) under Cricetulus griseus (Chinese hamster). The record is from RNAcentral. Lineage: Eukaryota; Metazoa; Chordata; Mammalia; Rodentia; Cricetidae.